UCCUCGGUAGCUCAAUUGGCAGAGCGGUCGGCUGUUAACCGAUUGGUUGUAGGUUCAAGUCCUACCCGAGGAGCCA
RNAcentral lists this transfer RNA (76 nucleotides) under Ardenticatenales bacterium. RNAcentral's name for it is "tRNA-Asn". It matches the Rfam family "tRNA". Rfam says of the family: Transfer RNA (tRNA) molecules are approximately 80 nucleotides in length. Their secondary structure includes four short double-helical elements and three loops (D, anti-codon, and T loops). The record is from RNAcentral. RNAcentral also lists the same sequence under 1 other name. Lineage: Bacteria; Bacillati; Chloroflexota; Ardenticatenia; Ardenticatenales.